UAAUUUGUCGCCACCUGCUGACUAUCAACACGAUCAAAACCAAAGGUCCAGAACAGCAUCUUGCUAUUGUUAUUAUUCUUUAGACGAGACAAAGAUUAAACAGGUAGGGACUCUUUCAUGGUAAAAUAGAAGUUCACCUGUACCAUAUACUCUGAUUCGCCUCAGCCAAACAUCUUACGUGGUAACCAAACUUCUCAGGACUUCACACAAAACUAUAAUAUACUCAAACUUGAAGCUUUAUUCUUCUACCAAAAAGCAUAUUUUAACCAUUUCCGACGAAUUCUACGGCACCUCAUAAAAGAAUCAAUGGACCAUCAGACCCAAACAAUUUGAAAAUAACCAAACAUCAAAAUCACCCAAGUAAGAACAGGAAAUGUUAUGGUCAUAUAACGUAGAAAUCUGAAAAUUGAAUGAUAAGAAUGAUUAUUACAUAAGAAUAUAUAAUCUGGAACUGACAAAAUCAUAUCCAGCAGUACACUCCACUAAACCCACUGAUCAACAUAUUACACAAUCAGAAACAAAAUAAAUUAUCUUGCCAUCAGAUCUCUAGCUUAAGCAAUUGGCGAUCCUAUCCAAAUUAUCCAGGUGUACAUAAGCUCUAGUAAAAUCAGAUCCGACGUUCUAGUUGCACAGUUAGCUUAGCCCCAUAAAAUAAAGAUGAAACAAGCACAACCUUCGUAAAGCCACAAAACAGAAAGUACCAAAUAGUAGGACGGGCACCAAAACGUUUGUUGCAAAUUUCUGCAAACAAGUAGGAAAAGCAGUAAAGGGAUUUAACAUAUACAUUAAAAAAAUUGUGAUAUAAAGUUAGAAAAAUGAGGAGGAUGAGGAAGAAAGAGAAAGCGAGAUUGAACAAUAUCUGGAACUGACGGGUGUCUCAGAAAUAUCGUAUCGGUAUUGCACAUAUAUACAUAUCAUAAGGAGAAUCAAAUCUCAAUCAGAAGAUUCCGAGACAAAUAGGUUGAACAUCCGGUCGUAUAUGGUUGUAUAUGCAUAUCAAAAGGAAGAAACUUUAACAGACACUCUUGCUUAGAAUCAUCAGCCAAAACAUCUUAUACCGACCUUGUCAGAGGAACAGAACAACACAAUUAUGACGAGGAGAGAACAUACUCGUAUUCAAAGCGCUUUCUUCUACAAAGAAUCAUAUUCAAGGUUGAGCGAAAAUCAAAUCAGCCGAUUACCAAACCCUAGCAAGAUAAAACACAAUCCAAACGCAAAAACCACUUGUUGAUGAAUAACCGAACAUCAUACCUAAUACCACGCCGGAUCAAAAUCACCAAAAGAAAACCAAUUCAGAAUCACAAUCAAACGACCGGCGAAGAAUCCACGACGCUCCGAUUGUCAGACCGGCAAAAUAACCCAGAUAAAUCAAAUCAGGACCCUACAAUCAGACGGUAUCGCGAAAGAGAAAAAAAAAACAUGGGACGGAUAAUCGCCGCUGAUUGAAUUGAAUUGCGCAGGUUUCAUAGCGACGAAAAUACAUAUACAAUCUGAAAAACGGAAACGACAAAUAAACAUCCGCAGAGAACCAAAGGCAAUCAAAC
RNAcentral lists this long non-coding RNA (1544 nucleotides) under Erythranthe guttata (spotted monkey flower). RNAcentral's name for it is "long non-coding RNA (EGUT_LNC003428)". Lineage: Eukaryota; Viridiplantae; Streptophyta; Magnoliopsida; Lamiales; Phrymaceae. The record is from RNAcentral.